CUGGUCUUGAACUCCUGACCUCAUGAUCCACCCCCCUCGGCUUCCCAAAGUGCUGGGAUUACAGGCAUGAGCCACCGCUCCUGGCCUGGCUGAGAACCAAUUCUAAGCCACCACACAGAGUUGCAAAACCAUAAAACAAUUAGCAAUAACUCUGCUAUCAAACAGUUAAUUACCAGGGAGUGUAAAUACGUGCUCAAGGCUCCAACUUACAGACUAAUAGGAGUUUUGAAGCCUGCCGUUUUUUGAAGGCUUAUACAAAAUAGUUUCCUGCAAACUCAAGUGGCUGGGAAGCCCAGCUGAAGGUUACUUCUACCCCAAGGCCACGUCAGCAGAAAGUGGCCAACAGGACUUGGGCCUGAAAAAGCUCAGACUGAAUUUUAGGAGUGACAUCUGAAACUGCUGGUUUCUCACAAGGAAUAAAAGCUGUCUGGGAAGCUGGAGAAGCAGCUUGCUGUCUGGAGCAGGGACUUGCAAAUGGGAACAGUGAAGAGAGACAGCAUCUCCUUCCUCUGAAGAUUCUGUUCAGAAUGGAUAAAGGUUCAGCAUCCUCCCUGGAUGGGGCAGCUUAGCAGAUACAGGGUCUCGCCAUGAGCCACAGCACCUGGCCACUUCUCAUUUUUAAUGCUGUAGACCCAGAGGAAAGCACUGGGAGGAAUGAGAAAGUAGCGACUAGACAAAAAUGAAAACUCUUUAAGAAGCAUUGCUGAAGUUACAGGGGAAAAAGGGACUUGAAAGGCCACAUGCUUGCAACAACAGAAGACUUGUAAGGAAAGGAAUCAGACCUACGGGAUACAGCAAGGUGUCUUUCCACAAACUAAGAAGAGAAACCUCUCCAGGAACCCCAUCAGUUGGCACCUUGAUCUUGGACUUUUCAGUCUUCAGAACUGUGAGGAAAUGUCUGUUGCUGAAACCAUCCAGUCCAUGGUGUUUUUGCUGCAGCAGCCCAAACUAUAGCUCAAAAUAAAAAGGGAAGUCAGAUUAUGUGGGCUAAACUAUGCUUCUACUUUCUCUCCAACAAGAGAAAGUGAGCAAAGAAUGGGGACUUCAGGAGGUUAGGACUACUGCAGCGACUAUGGUCCUUUGGUCAAGGAACCCAAGGACGACAUUGAGAUAGAGAUACCAACCAGAUCAGCAGUUCUUAAAUGAGAGAGGCAACCUCACAAUAGACUUCUCCUAUCCCUGCUGUUAGCCAAGUCUUCCCUUCUGCCCAGAGAGCUCUCAGCCUUCUCUGUGUUCUACACAACCUUUAAAACCAAGUUCAAGUUCCAACUCUUCGGCAAAGCCUAACAUUGAUCUCAUCUUUCUCAGAAUUCCAUCGAUACACAUGAUGUAUACAAUUUGCUUACUAUCCUCAUAUGAAACGUGGUGUGACAGGCAGCAUUGAAUUUGCAGUAAUAUCUGGAUUCCACUAGAGAGUCACUUCUCACUAGCUAUGUUAACCAGAGUGGAUUAUUUAGCAUCCCGAAGCCUCAGUUUCCUGAUUUGCAAAAUAGGAAAAAUGAGAGGAUUCAAAGCCUCUAUCCUGAGGACAUAGAGCAAUGGGAACUCGCAUAUAUUAUUGGUUGGGUGUAAAUUGAUCCAAGCCCUUUGAAAACCAUUUGCUAGUGUCUCCUAAAGUUAAAUCUAUGCCUAUUCUAUGAGCGAGCAAUUCCACUCCUAGGUAUAUAACCAAUAGAAAUGAGCGCUUAAGGCUGAGCGCAGUGGCUCACACCUGUAAUCCCAGCACUUUGGGAGGCUGAGGCAGCAGAUCACCUGAGGUCGGGAGUUUGAGACCAGCCUGACCAACAUGGAGAAACCCAGUCUCUACUAAAAAUACAAAAUUAGCCAGGUGUGGUGGCACAUAUCUGUAAUCCCAGCUACUCGGGGGGCUGAAGCAGGAGAAUCGCUUGAACUCGGGAGGCGGAGGUUGUGGUGAGCUGAGAUCAUGCCAUUGCACUUCAGCCUGGGCAACAAGAGCAAGACUCCGUCUCAAAAAAAUAAAAAGAAAGAAAGGAAAGAAAGAAAGAAGAAGGAAGGAAGGAAAG
Molecule: long non-coding RNA, 2024 nt
Organism: Pan troglodytes (chimpanzee)
Lineage: Eukaryota; Metazoa; Chordata; Mammalia; Primates; Hominidae
Exons: 6
Source: RefSeq, a predicted model, not a curated record